Molecule: transfer RNA, 86 nt
Filed under: Alphaproteobacteria bacterium
Lineage: Bacteria; Pseudomonadati; Pseudomonadota; Alphaproteobacteria
Also listed under: 1 other name
Description: tRNA-Leu
Rfam family: tRNA
About the family: Transfer RNA (tRNA) molecules are approximately 80 nucleotides in length. Their secondary structure includes four short double-helical elements and three loops (D, anti-codon, and T loops).
Source: RNAcentral
GCCCGCGUGGUGGAAUCGGUAGACACAACAGACUUAAAAUCUGUCGCUCUUAGAGCGUGCCAGUUCGAGUCUGGCCGCGGGCACCA